RNAcentral lists this ribosomal RNA (215 nucleotides) under Dictyocoela roeselum. RNAcentral's name for it is "partial small subunit ribosomal RNA". It matches the Rfam family "Microsporidia small subunit ribosomal RNA", at positions 51 to 218 of the family's 1311-position model. Lineage: Eukaryota; Fungi; Microsporidia. The record is from RNAcentral.
UGCAUGUGUAAGCGAAGCGAUAAGUGGAGCGGUGAAAGGCUCAGUAACGGGCGAUUUAUUUGAUCUCCUGGGACGGACAACAUCGGGAAACUGAUGGGAAAACGUCUAAGUUGCAGUUUUUUUUUGAUUGCGACGUAAACCUUUUGGUGCAGGAGAGUAAGAUGCCAUCCUAUCAGUUAGUAAGUAGGGUAAGGGCCUACUUAGACGAAGACGGG